UCCGAAUUAGUAUAUCGGCUAGUAUGACCGCCUCUCACUGUCAAGUGUACGCGGUAGAGACGGGUUCGAUUCCCGUAUUCGGAA
Molecule: transfer RNA, 84 nt
Filed under: Puccinia coronata f. sp. avenae
Lineage: Eukaryota; Fungi; Basidiomycota; Pucciniomycetes; Pucciniales; Pucciniaceae
Description: Puccinia coronata var. avenae f. sp. avenae partial tRNA-Glu
Rfam family: tRNA
About the family: Transfer RNA (tRNA) molecules are approximately 80 nucleotides in length. Their secondary structure includes four short double-helical elements and three loops (D, anti-codon, and T loops). Further hydrogen bonds mediate the characteristic L-shaped molecular structure. tRNAs have two regions of fundamental functional importance: the anti-codon, which is responsible for specific mRNA codon recognition, and the 3' end, to which the tRNAs corresponding amino acid is attached (by aminoacyl-tRNA synthetases). tRNAs cope with the degeneracy of the genetic code in two manners: having more than one tRNA (with a specific anti-codon) for a particular amino acid; and 'wobble' base-pairing, i.e. permitting non-standard base-pairing at the 3rd anti-codon position.
Source: RNAcentral